RNAcentral lists this small RNA (123 nucleotides) under uncultured Anaerosacchariphilus sp. Its description in RNAcentral is "Ribosomal protein L10 leader". It matches the Rfam family "Ribosomal protein L10 leader", at positions 19 to 131 of the family's 138-position model. From Rfam's summary of the family: This family is a putative r-protein leader autoregulatory structure found in B. subtilis and other low-GC Gram-positive bacteria. It is located in the 5' untranslated regions of mRNAs encoding ribosomal proteins L10 and L12 (rplJ-rplL). A Rho-independent transcription terminator structure that is probably involved in regulation is included at the 3' end. Lineage: Bacteria; Bacillati; Bacillota; Clostridia; Lachnospirales; Lachnospiraceae. The record is from RNAcentral.
ACACGACCCGAAGACAGCAGGUGCCGCAAGGCAUAAGUUGAACACGCCUGCCGAGGACGAUAUGCAUUCACUUUGAAUGAUUUUUCGAAACCUCUCUGUCUUCCCGGCAGAGAGGUUUUUUGU